Molecule: long non-coding RNA, 389 nt
Organism: Pygocentrus nattereri (red-bellied piranha)
Lineage: Eukaryota; Metazoa; Chordata; Actinopteri; Characiformes; Serrasalmidae
Exons: 3
Source: RefSeq, a predicted model, not a curated record
UAAGAUGAAGGCCAUGCUGAAUGCAGAGGAUAUGUUUCAUGGCCUAUGUGUCAAACACAAGGCCAGAUCAGGCCCGCCACCAAUCCUAUCCAGCCCGCAGAACACUGAGGCUAGACAUGGGCAGCUAACUGUACCCUAUCCUUCCCGGAAGCCUGCUGUGUACCUUAACCAGGCCAGCAGCGGUCGCCACUGACCAUUUGGUCCCUCAGGAUGUUGAACUCGUGUGACCUCAGACGCAUGCAGCCCUGCUGCUCCCGAUCAUGUGCAUGGCACAGCUCUGUUUCACGCUUGACAGCCAUGCUGCGCCUCUCUGAUCCAUUGAUCUGCUAGCUAUUGCGUGGGUGACUAGAGGCCACUGUGUAGCCCUGCAUCCUGCUGACAAGCCUGUA